RNAcentral lists this ribosomal RNA (492 nucleotides) under uncultured bacterium. Its description in RNAcentral is "bacterial SSU rRNA". It matches the Rfam family "Bacterial small subunit ribosomal RNA", at positions 29 to 507 of the family's 1533-position model. The record is from RNAcentral.
AGUGAACGCUGGCGGCAGGCCUAACACAUGCAAGUCGAGCGGCAGCGCGUCCGACCACCCUCGGGUGGUCGGAUGGCGGCGAGCGGCGGACGGGUGAGGAAUGCAUCGGAAUCUGCCUCGUUGUGGGGGAUAACGUAGGGAAACUUACGCUAAUACCGCAUACGACCUACGGGUGAAAGUGGGGGACCUUCGGGCCUCACGCGAUGAGAUGAGCCGAUGCCGGAUUAGCUAGUUGGCGGGGUAAAGGCCCACCAAGGCGACGAUCCGUAGCUGGUCUGAGAGGAUGAUCAGCCACACUGGAACUGAGACACGGUCCAGACUCCUACGGGAGGCAGCAGUGGGGAAUAUUGGACAAUGGGGGCAACCCUGAUCCAGCCAUGCCGCGUGAGGGAAGAAGGUCCUCUGGAUUGUAAACCUCUUUUGGCAGGAAACAAACCUGCGCUAUACGCGCAGCUGAGGGUACCUGCAGAAUAAGCACCGGCUAACUCCGUG